RNAcentral lists this ribosomal RNA (305 nucleotides) under uncultured bacterium. Its description in RNAcentral is "partial 16S ribosomal RNA". It matches the Rfam family "Bacterial small subunit ribosomal RNA", at positions 508 to 807 of the family's 1533-position model. The record is from RNAcentral.
ACAGCAGUCGCCGCGGUAAUACCGAGGGUGCGAGCGUUAAUCGGAUUUACUGGGCGUAAAGCGUGCGUAGGCGGCUUUUUAAGUCGGAUGUGAAAUCCCUGAGCUUAACUUAGGAAUUGCAUUCGAUACUGGGAAGCUAGAGUAUGGGAGAGGAUGGUAGAAUUCCAGGUGUAGCGGUGAAAUGCGUAGAGAUCUGGAGGAAUACCGAUGGCGAAGGCAGCCAUCUGGCCUAAUACUGACGCUGAGGUACGAAAGCAUGGGGAGCAAACAGGAUUAGAUACCCCUGUAGUCCCUGUCUCUUAUAC